RNAcentral lists this ribosomal RNA (252 nucleotides) under uncultured Bacteroidales bacterium. RNAcentral describes it as "partial 16S ribosomal RNA". It matches the Rfam family "Bacterial small subunit ribosomal RNA", at positions 524 to 776 of the family's 1533-position model. Lineage: Bacteria; Pseudomonadati; Bacteroidota; Bacteroidia; Bacteroidales. The record is from RNAcentral.
UACGGAGGAUGCGAGCGUUAUCCGGAUUUAUUGGGUUUAAAGGGUGCGCAGGCGGAAUGUCAAGUCAGCGGUAAAAUUUCGGGGCUCAACCCCAUCCAGCCGUUGAAACUGGGGAUCUAGAGUGUGCGAGAGGUAUGCGGAAUGCGUGGUGUAGCGGUGAAAUGCAUAGAUAUCACGCAGAACGCCGAUUGCGAAGGCAGCUUACCGGCGCUCAACUGACGCUGAGGCACGAAAGUGCGGGUAUCGAACAGG